Long non-coding RNA from Girardinichthys multiradiatus, 511 nucleotides. RefSeq lists it as uncharacterized. NCBI's taxonomy places the organism in Eukaryota, Metazoa, Chordata, Actinopteri, Cyprinodontiformes, Goodeidae. The record is from RefSeq and is a predicted model, not a curated record. The transcript has 2 exons.
AUUAGCCACCAGUGUUAACAAAUGCUUGCUCUAGUUGUUGGUUUCCUGCUUCUUCCAGAACUCUAAGUGAUUCAAGUGUGUCUGCCUCCUCAGGUUGUUUCCAGACCUGGCUGAGUUCAAGCUGGUUUCCAGACUCUUCUUAAAGAGCGUUCUCUGGGUUCUGGAUAAAGGAUUCAAGUCUCCAGUUAUCUCCUCCGGAUCAAGUUCAAGCUGGCAGCUUCCUGGCUCUUUGACCACGUGGAUCUAGUCAUAAGCGACUCCUGUCCACUCUCCAACCAGCUCUCGUGAAAGUACCUCCAACCUGUGUUCCACACCAUCAUUCCACUCUCAUCACACAGUCCUGGAUCAGAGCUCCUAAGGAUCUACCUCCUUAGAACUGCUCCUGUGUUGCGCUCUCAGACCCUGCAUCUCUCAUCCCUCUGGCGGUUCAACUUCCUCCCCCAUUGGUGAUUUACCAGUCCAGGAUCUCAACCCCAUAUCACUCCCAUGAAAAUAAAACUUUUAAACUUUC